Haliotis rubra (blacklip abalone) is the source of this 2223-nucleotide RNA transcript. It is a transcript of the gene named 3-oxoacyl-[acyl-carrier-protein] reductase FabG-like, with no coding region annotated. Lineage: Eukaryota; Metazoa; Mollusca; Gastropoda; Lepetellida; Haliotidae. The transcript has 11 exons. The record is from RefSeq and is a predicted model, not a curated record.
CAAGAUGUAGUGAUGCACAGUGUGUUAGUAUUAUCACACAUGGGUCUGAUCCUGCUAAAUGCGAUAGCCAAUGUAGGUUACUAUGUUGAACGGGGAUUAUCAGUGUCCACACAACCUGACCUGAUUUUUCGGUAAAGGUGCUUCACCGCUUCACACACCAUGGACUCAUCGCUCGGUAACCUCGCAGGAAAAGUUGCAUUAAUUACAGGUGCCAGUUCUGGUAUUGGUGCCGCAACUGCAGUCCUUUUCUCCAAACUUGGCGCUCAGGUUGCCCUGACAGGAAGGAAGGAGGAGAAUCUCCAGCAGGUUGGAGCCGAGUGUGAGAAGAGUACGUCUCAAAAGCCAUUCCUUGUCACAGGAGACCUGGUGAAGGAAGCCGAUGUGAAAAAUGUCCUUGAUGCGACAGUCAAACACUUUGGUAGACUGAAUAUUCUGGUGAACUGUGCAGGUAUCAUAGAGCUGGGUAGCAUUGAGAACACAUCCCUUGAGCAGUAUGACAGAGUCAUGGAUGCAAAUGUCAGGUCAGUGCUCCACCUUACGAUGUUGGCAGUGCCAUACCUCACCGAAACCAAGGGCAACAUUGUCAACGUCUCCAGUGUCAAUGGCAUGAGAUCGUUUCCAGGUGUCCUGGCCUAUAACAUGUCAAAGAGUGCCAUUGACCAUUUCACCAGAUGUGUGGCUUUAGAGUUGGCUCCCAAACAAGUUCGUGUAAACAGUGUAAACCCAGGGGUGAUAGUCACCAAUCUUCAGAAGCGAGGAGGUCUGGACGAGGCCAGAUAUGCGCAGUUCCUUGAAAGGUCAAAGGAAACCCAUGCACUUGGACGCCCAGGAAAUCCAGAAGAGGUUGCAAGAACCAUUGCCUUUGUUGCUUCAGAUGAUGCUUCUUUCAUUACGGGAGCACAGGUGCCCUGUGACGGAGGGAGGCAUGCAAUGUGCCCAAGAUAAAUCCUCAAUAGAUACAGUUGUGUUGUAUGUUUGUAUGAGAAAUACUUUUAACUUUAUCAUUCAAAAUACUGCACAAUUCAACAUGUGGUAAUAAAUCCUGAUAAUUGAUCCUGGUAAUUAUUCAUGAUGCAUACUUUUCCAAUUGAAUGAUUUAUAUCAAAGAAUACACUGUCUGAUUGUGGUAUCCCUGCUAAACUACAACAUUUUAUCUUGGUGAUCCCGACACGAUAUUGCUGGAAUUUUGCUAAAAGUUAGGUAAGGGUCCGUUCAUAAUUUAUGGUUAGGGGGUGAUGAUGAUUUUAAUGGGGGAUCACCCAUUUUGUUCUGGGGAGGUUGCUUCAGAUGAUGCUGAUGUUGGGAGUGGUCACAUGUACAAGGGGGUGGGUCAGCAAUUUUGCACAUGACAUGCAGGUGGGGUGGUGGUGUUAUUUACUUUGUACAUGAAUACUGAAUAUAAGGCAUGUCCUGCACAUUGUCAGGGGUGGAAAUAACCCAUUGCCCGACGCCUGAGUCCAGCGUUUUUUUCUGUCGGACCAGCAAAUUGUAUAUCACACUGUACCGGUGUCCAGUUGACUUUCCAAUGUUAAUUAUGUUGUUUAUUUAAAGAAUCAACAAGAAAACGGCCGGUAUAGUGGAAAAAUCAUCAGGGCAAGUGAUUUUGCAUGUGCCACUGUAUCGGAGUACACUAGCAAUUUUAAAGUUAUUUCCACCCCUGAUUGUACAUGCUUCUCCAUAAAAAUCAUUAAAAUCAACCGAGCUAUUAAAUAUGAACGUUGCCUGAAACCAAACUCACUCACUGUAUCUUGUGACCUGCAUUUUCAAACUGGUUGAUGUCUGGCCCAGAUGUACAUAGCAGCUUCACCCACAUGCGCUAUAUACAUGUUGCUAUAUACAUGUGCUAUAAUCUUCAACACUAUCUCCAUCUCCUUGACAGCUCCCCUACUCAACUUGUCAACCUAGAGUUACGAAAUGAUCUUAACUUCAUCUUUUAAAACAUAACACAUUAUUCCAUACUUGUGAGUAAUCUUGCAGUGUGAUUCAUGAUGCAUUACCUUCUGACAUGACUGGGGAUCAUCUGAACACUUCUAUGCCCGUGUUGGAUUGUGAGGAGAUAGACAAGAUUCUUCAGCCUGUCAUCUUGAAUAUGCAUAAUCUGAUCAGCUGGAACUAUGCUGUUGCAGUAUGUUAUCGGAUAAAUUUUCAUGUAUAAACAAUAAAGUUUCAUAAUGCUACAUGCAUACUUUUUUAACAUGCGUAAUAAACUGCCUUGCGAAAGUG